GCCUCUAAUACUCGGUUCUCAUUGCCUCCUUUGAGAGUGUCCACAGGGUCAUUUCCCAGGGAGCACCCAGUUGACUAGAAUGCAAUCAUUGCCUCGAGUCGCAUGGUUUUAUUGGUUUCUACUGGCAUUUUUCAGAAAGUCAGUUGAUCUCCCCUUUUCUUUUCUUCACAGGAAGCCCGUGGGAUCUGAGCUGGUUCCUAAAUCUCGGAUUACUCUGCCCGCUCCCAAUCCUGACCACGUAGGGGGCUAUAAACUGGCAGUUGCAACAUUUGCGGGCAUUGAAAACAAGUUCGGACUUUACCUACCUCUCUUUAAGCCAUCAGCAUCUACCUCAAAAGUGACCGCUGUGGGCUCAUAGGGGGACUGACCCGGAUGUGGCUGGAAAAUUGAUUGGAACCACAACAAGCCUCGUCAGGGUUUGAAGCAUGGCUCCGCCCCUUCCGCAUCUGUCCCAUUUAAAUUCAGGUCAAUGCUUCUUAUAUUAAAUGCAAUCAUUCAUUUUCUGGAUUUUUUUUGUAGCAAGAUCAUGUGGAAUUAUUCCUAAUUAUUCUUUGGCACGCUGCCCGUAACCUGUGUUUGUAUCUUUUAAAUACUGGGAUUUGGUCAAUACUAAACUUGAUCUGGAGUAAGUCUGAAGGGAAAUGAGGGAGGUCUCCUACCCGGAUGAUGGUCUCACUGAUGCUACUGAAAGGCAGCCAUGGUUUCUAAAAGAGUUCCGAGUAUGUUUAAAGUAGUAGAAAGCUAGGUAUGUAUUUAUAAAAAUGAAAAACACUGGAAGGGGGGGGAAAUCCAAAUAUCUAGCCUGGACUCA
RNAcentral lists this long non-coding RNA (811 nucleotides) under Rattus norvegicus (Norway rat). RNAcentral describes it as "long non-coding RNA NONRATT021222". The record is from RNAcentral. Lineage: Eukaryota; Metazoa; Chordata; Mammalia; Rodentia; Muridae.